CAAGUCGAGCGGACAGAUGGGAGCUUGCUCCCUGAUGUUAGCGGCGGACGGGUGAGUAACACGUGGGUAACCUGCCUGUAAGACUGGGAUAACUCCGGGAAACCGGGGCUAAUACCGGAUGGUUGUUUGAACCGCAUGGUUCAGACAUAAAAGGUGGCUUCGGCUACCACUUACAGAUGGACCCGCGGCGCAUUAGCUAGUUGGUGAGGUAACGGCUCACCAAGGCGACGAUGCGUAGCCGACCUGAGAGGGUGAUCGGCCACACUGGGACUGAGACACGGCCCAGACUCCUACGGGAGGCAGCAGUAGGGAAUCUUCCGCAAUGGACGAAAGUCUGACGGAGCAACGCCGCGUGAGUGAUGAAGGUUUUCGGAUCGUAAAGCUCUGUUGUUAGGGAAGAACAAGUGCCGUUCAAAUAGGGCGGCACCUUGACGGUACCUAACCAGAAAGCCACGGCUAACUACGUGCCAGCAGCCGCGGUAAUACGUAGGUGGCAAGCGUUGUCCGG
This 508-nucleotide ribosomal RNA is filed under the name Bacillus sp. (in: firmicutes). Its description in RNAcentral is "bacterial SSU rRNA". It matches the Rfam family "Bacterial small subunit ribosomal RNA", at positions 58 to 548 of the family's 1533-position model. The record is from RNAcentral. Lineage: Bacteria; Bacillati; Bacillota; Bacilli; Caryophanales; Bacillaceae.